CCAGUGAUGGAAAAGAGCUCCAGAGUGGAGGGAAAUGAAGCUGUGGGGAGGAGCCCUGGAGCCCAAAGCGCUGUGGUGGCUCCCAGCAAGGCUGGAAGGGGCAGCAAUGCCCCCACAGAGGGCACAAACCAAGCCCUCAGGAACCUCCCCUUGCAAUGGCAGUCCUGUGAGGAACACAGACAUAUCAGGCUCCCCAGGGAGGCUGUGAAACACCAACCCCAAGGGAUCCAUUCUCCUCCCCCUGGACUUUCAUUAAGGAAAGAUGGCGCCAAGCCCAGCGCCUCAGGAAGCUGCAGCAGAGGAAACAGUGCAGCUCCUCAGAGACAGAAAGAGUCUGAGAAAGAAAACCUUGAGCAGCCUUCAAAGAGGAGGGCAAACCUUAAAAAACCUCACCCUUACAGCCCUGAAAGCGUUCGGGAAUUUAUGUAUCGGAAAAAGGCAGAGAGAAAGAGAAAACUCCUCAAAGAGAAAAAGGCUCUGGCACAGGCUGAGGAGAUGAAAAGGAAGAGGUUGCAAGAAUUGUACAGGAAACAAAAAGAAGCUAUUGGGAAGAAAUUGUGUCCUGAUGAGAUGCACAAACCCCUUGGGAAAAUGGGUUCUGCCAAAGGAAAUCCUCAGAGUGAAUUGGAUCAAAGGCAAAGCAACGGGGGAGAACUGGAAAGGAAUUUCAUGGCCUGGGUGGAUGAAACAUCCUCUCCUCUGUCACCAGAAGAUCACAGAGGCAGGAAUCAACUCCUAGAAACAGCUCAAUCACCUAAAAAAGGAGAAGCACCAGGUCCUGCAGCACCGCUGGAAUCUGAAUGCUGGUUUCUCAGUCCUCUGAAAUGUGAAGACUUGAGGGACUGCUCUCCCCCAGCUCUGCAUUCACCUCCUCUGAGCUUUUCUGUUCCUCAGAAAGAUGCAAAACCUCCCUCCAAGGACUCAUCUGUUGGGCUUUCUCCACAGAGAAGCAAACAGGAUCAAGUGAGGGCCAUUCACACUCUGUCCAGGGAACUUGCAGAAAAGAUUGACGUGGCAAGGAAGAGGCUGAGUGCAGCCAGCUGGGCUAAAGCCUCUGCUGACAAACAAUCCACAGGGACAGCUCUGGGCCUGCACCGUGGUCCUCCCUCUGCCCCAGCACCUGAGGCUUCCAGGGACAGGCAAGAGAGGACAAUGACUGCACAAAUGCCUCUGGACAGAGAUCCUGAAGGGCUUUGUGUGACACCCAGCAGGGAAUGCCAUGGGCUGGGCAGGACUGGCCUGCUGGGCACACAGGGGGAAAUGCCAGCUCCUCUGCCAGGUGGGAAUGCUCAGAGGGAGGAAUUGCCCUGGAUCACACCCCGUGCAGGACAGAGUCACCUCAGCUCUGCAGGAGAGCUGAGCAACA
Molecule: long non-coding RNA, 1366 nt
Organism: Zonotrichia leucophrys gambelii
Lineage: Eukaryota; Metazoa; Chordata; Aves; Passeriformes; Passerellidae
Exons: 3
Source: RefSeq, a predicted model, not a curated record